This 597-nucleotide ribosomal RNA is filed under the name uncultured Eubacteriales bacterium. Its description in RNAcentral is "bacterial SSU rRNA". It matches the Rfam family "Bacterial small subunit ribosomal RNA", at positions 28 to 646 of the family's 1533-position model. Lineage: Bacteria; Bacillati; Bacillota; Clostridia; Eubacteriales. The record is from RNAcentral.
GACGAACGCUGGCGGCGUGCUUAACACAUGCAAGUCGAGCGAAAAUACAGCAAUGUAUUUUAGCGGCGGACGGGUGAGUAACACGUGGGCAACCUGCCUUUAGCUGGGGGAUAGCCAACCGAAAGGUUGAAUAAUACCGCAUAAUCCAUAGAUAUGGCAUCGUAUCUGUGGCAAAGGAGUAAUCCGGCAAAAGAGGGGCCCGCGUCCCAUUAGCUAGUUGGUGAGGCAGAGGCUCACCAAGGCGACGACGGGUAGCCGAUCUGAGAGGAUGACCGGCCACAUUGGAACUGAGACACGGUCCAGACUCCUACGGGAGGCAGCAGUGGGGAAUAUUGCGCAAUGGGGGAAACCCUGACGCAGCAACGCCGCGUGAGCGAUGAAGGCCUUCGGGUCGUAAAGCUCUGUCUUGUGGGACGAUAAUGACGGUACCACAGGAGGAAGCCACGGCUAACUACGUGCCAGCAGCCGCGGUAAUACGUAGGUGGCGAGCGUUGUCCGGAAUUACUGGGCGUAAAGGGUGCGCAGGCGGAUAUUUAAGUCAGAUGUGAAAAUCCCGGGCUUAACCUGGGAACUGCAUUUGAAACUGGGUAUCUGGAG